Molecule: ribosomal RNA, 253 nt
Filed under: uncultured bacterium
Lineage: Bacteria
Description: partial 16S ribosomal RNA
Rfam family: Bacterial small subunit ribosomal RNA
Source: RNAcentral
UACGUAGGGGGCUAGCGUUGUCCGGAAUCAUUGGGCGUAAAGAGCGUGUAGGCGGCCCGGUAAGUCCGCUGUAAAAGUCAAAGGCUCAACCUUUGAAUGUCAGUGGAUACUGCCGGGCUAGAGUCCGGAAGAGGCGAGUGGAACUCCUGGUGUAGCGGUGGAAUGCGCAGAUAUCAGGAAGAACACCUAUGGCGAAGGCAGCUCUCUGGGACGGUACUGACGCUGAGACGCGAAAGCGUGGGGAGCAAACAGG